This is a long non-coding RNA of Liolophura sinensis, 1324 nucleotides long. RefSeq lists it as uncharacterized. The transcript has 3 exons. Lineage: Eukaryota; Metazoa; Mollusca; Polyplacophora; Chitonida; Chitonidae. The record is from RefSeq and is a predicted model, not a curated record.
CACCGGUAACGACCAGAGGACGGUGAGAUACUUUGCAGUUACCCAGACGUAAAAAAGACCAGGCGCAGAGUUACGCUGUCACAAACACAAGUCAAAAUCAUGAAGUCCAUGCUGUUCUUGUUACUUAUUGCCUUGGUGAUCUCCAGCAGUAUUGUGCGAGCGAAUUGGUUCGGCAAAAGAGAUGACAAAGAUGAUGGGUUUCAACAGUUCCUUACAGAGAAAUUGUCACAUCACACAACAUCAUCAAAACUGGCCGACCGGGCGGCGUUAGCGGCAAUAGCCCAAAUUAUCCAGAGCUGGCUCAACAACUCCGAAGACAGGAGAGAAGUCUUCAAGAAAAUGACAUAGUGCUAACUGGCGAACGGGUUGUCGCCGGCACAGCCUUCUUGGCCACGACGAGAUCGUCACUCUCCUACAACCUCGGAACAUUUCAUCAGAGGUUUUUUUUUGAACAACUGAGAUUAUUUUAUUUACGACUCGCUUCUGGUAACCAAGCACAUGUGUCAACAGAGGAAAAGAAAAUCAGUUUUCGAACUAAUCAUUAUAAAUCAGUGAUUUGAUUUUUGGUCUGCAACUUGUAGGCUGAGAUUGCACAUGCAAAAUUAAACAAGUUACGAAUUUGUGGGAUGACUUUUUUCUCUUAAUGCCCGAAGAGAAUUCUACAAUGGCUAUGCUGCUAACUGGUUAGACCUGGGCAAGAGCAGCCAUUCACAGCUUCUGCCACAAACAGAACACACAUGGCUUUAGUAUUAAGACCAUCGUGGUGAGUGGUGCCAUUGUGUAUCAUACAUAGGCCUGACCUAGCAGCCCUCGGAACUAAUUACAUCUUCAAAAUAUACACGCUAUUUCAGCUCUUUCAAAUUAUGUGACAUUUGAAAAGGAUAUAUUCAGUUCAAUAAAAAUCACUUUAAUGUAAUCAUAAAUUUUACUGUUUGUUGUGUAAGAACCCGUUUGACAAAUGCUGACGAUAUUUUAUCUUUUAAUGUACAAAUGCUUUUUGUGGGUGAUGAUGUUAAAUAACCGUGAGCAACGCCACCACAGAGUUACGCCUUAGACACAACUUAUAACGGCCACAAGAACAUACCGCAUAGGCCAAGUGCUUAGCGUGCUAGCGCAGCAUAAUGACUGCAGAGGCAAUUCUCCAAUGCGACGCUGAGAGUUCAAGUCCAGCUCAUGGUGGGUUUCUCUCCAAACGUACGAUGGGAGGUCCGCAACUUGCGCGUUAUGGUGUGUUUCUCCCACCAUAAUAUGGAAAUAUACAUGGAGUACGGCGUAAAACACCCAUCAAAUAAAUAAAUAAAUAAAUUUUAUUAUCAUCCUCAAA